CCACAGUGGUGGCAGCAGCGUGGGGCGACUUCCCUUGUGGUGAUGCUGCUGCCCACUGUGGGCUGUGCUGGGAGGGGGGUGGAGAGAUGGCUGGGAUCCAGAAGACGAGAAGCAAACAAGCCCAGCACCAGGCAGAGAUCCAGUGGAAAAAAAUGCCCAGCCUACUGUGAUGCCAAUUAG
Molecule: long non-coding RNA, 180 nt
Filed under: Fukomys damarensis (Damara mole-rat)
Lineage: Eukaryota; Metazoa; Chordata; Mammalia; Rodentia; Bathyergidae
Description: lncRNA (ENSFDAG00000022420.1)
Source: RNAcentral